RNAcentral lists this long non-coding RNA (848 nucleotides) under Homo sapiens (human). RNAcentral's name for it is "long intergenic non-protein coding RNA 1359". The record is from RNAcentral. Lineage: Eukaryota; Metazoa; Chordata; Mammalia; Primates; Hominidae.
ACUUGCUUGUAGUCAAACAGAAGGCAGAGCUGCGAAUCAAAUCCAGGUUUGUCUCGACAUGCCACUAGCUCAUACUUCCCUUGGAUCAGCCACUAAAUGGCUUUCACUCCAGUGAGCAGCGACCAGCACCAGAAUUAUGGAACAUUUAUCAACAGCCUAAAAUAAAGACAACACGAGGAGAAUUUGGUUGCUUAUAUAGAUUCAAGGUACAAUCCUGCUGGAUUCUGGGAUUACAGGACUGUAGACAAAAGAGAAAUCAUCAUGGACUGUUCACUGGACAAAAUUUCAUGGAGAGGAGAAGACCUUUGGCGGUUCAUGGAUGUUCUAUAAUAAGUUAGAAGUACGACCAUGUGAAGAGGUAGCAAGAGAGCAGCAAUCUACAAGCCAAGGAAAGAGGCCACAGAGGAAACCAACCCUGCCAGCAUCUUGAUCUUGGACUUCCAGCUUCCAGAACUAACCAGGGACCCCACUCCCAUGCCGACAGUAUGGGCUGCUGUCUUCAGGACCAUUGCAAGUGUCCUUCACGGUUCGGUUCACAUUUCACAAGCCCCAUGAAGUCUAUCUGGAUUUUCGAUGGAUGUCUUGCCUUUUCCUCUACACACUACAGGAAGAGUGGCCACCCCUGCCAAGGGCCUAGUAUAGUACCCUAUACAUGUAGCUGAUCAGUUGAUUGUUACUGAUCAUAUGUAUCCUGCAUCAUGUUAUAAAAAAUUAACACAGUGCUUGGCACAUACUUGUACUGAAUGUCAGAGCUGCAGCAUGAUCUGGAGGCUUUCCUCGCUUUCUUCUGCUUCCCCUCCCUUGAUCCUUCACAGGCAUUUUCCUCAAUACAUCUCUUGCCUGGCUAA